Molecule: long non-coding RNA, 314 nt
Filed under: Setaria italica (foxtail millet)
Lineage: Eukaryota; Viridiplantae; Streptophyta; Magnoliopsida; Poales; Poaceae
Description: long non-coding RNA (SITA_LNC001624)
Source: RNAcentral
UUGGUAGAUGUAGUAGUUGAUGUGCUAUAUAAAUGGUGGAGUGUUUAGUAUUACAUGAAAUCUAGGUGUUCAUAUGAGACAUAGAAAAAUAUAGAUUUGUCGGUACAAUGGAUUUAGCUUAGUUAUUUAUGUUACAAUAAAAUUAGUUUGUUGAUUUAUUUAGAUAAAUUUAAGAUGAAUAUUAUUGGUAAUGCAUAAGUUAUAUUUGAUAUAAUUAUUCAGAAUGCAGGUGUGUUUGGGGUUAAUUGAAAUUAUUACAUUUAGUUGUAAUUUUUGUUCAUGUCCUGUGUGGUUUUUCGGAAUAUAGGUGUGAU